Molecule: transfer RNA, 73 nt
Filed under: Mesocricetus auratus (golden hamster)
Lineage: Eukaryota; Metazoa; Chordata; Mammalia; Rodentia; Cricetidae
Rfam family: tRNA
About the family: Transfer RNA (tRNA) molecules are approximately 80 nucleotides in length. Their secondary structure includes four short double-helical elements and three loops (D, anti-codon, and T loops).
Source: Rfam by way of RNAcentral
GGUUCCAUGGUAUAAUAGUGAUCACAUCUGUUUUACAUGCCAAAGGUCCUAGGUUCAAGCCCCAGUGGAAUCG